Molecule: non-coding RNA, 73 nt
Organism: Aedes albopictus (Asian tiger mosquito)
Lineage: Eukaryota; Metazoa; Arthropoda; Insecta; Diptera; Culicidae
Source: Rfam
UGUCUUGUGGCUUAGUUGGUUAAUGCGCCGAACUAGCUAUACGGAGUCGUGGGUUCGAAUCCCACCAAAUCAA